CUGCAGCCAAUUAAGCCCACCAUGUUCUUUUCCCCUUGGGAGCUCAGUGUGCAAUGGCUGCAAAUGUCAGCUUCCUCAGUAGUAUAAGCAGCCUGUUGCCCAAAUGGGUUGGCCUAAGGGACCCUGGAGACAGCC
This is a small nucleolar RNA of 135 nucleotides. Its record names the gene SNORA70. It matches the Rfam family "Small nucleolar RNA SNORA70". From Rfam's summary of the family: snoRNA U70 seems to be exclusive to mammals and is a member of the H/ACA class of snoRNA which contain H (ANANNA) and ACA box motifs. H/ACA box snoRNAs are involved in the conversion of uridines to pseudouridines (5-ribosyluracil) a constituent of structural RNAs (transfer, ribosomal, small nuclear, and small nucleolar). The record is from Ensembl.